Molecule: long non-coding RNA, 282 nt
Organism: Lampris incognitus (smalleye Pacific opah)
Lineage: Eukaryota; Metazoa; Chordata; Actinopteri; Lampriformes; Lampridae
Exons: 3
Source: RefSeq, a predicted model, not a curated record
GUUCGGCGCGAGUGUGCGCAGGUGCCAGUUUACGAUGGAGCCAAACGACUGCGAUCCCCGUUAUAACCCGAUGGCCAAAGCCAAACGACUUUCCAGGGUCUUUUUCUGAUACCUCCAACCCGGCCACCACUCAUCUCAGAUUCUCCCUUCUAUAACCCGUGGACCAGCUUGACCACUGUUUUUUGCUGCUGUCCUGCUCACUGGCCCUCCCUCACCCCAGCCCUCACCACCUGUAUGGAUAUUUGUCUGGUUGACACCAUUGCUUCGUACCGGACACAAAAG